Peromyscus eremicus (cactus mouse) is the source of this 673-nucleotide long non-coding RNA. RefSeq lists it as uncharacterized. The transcript has 2 exons. Lineage: Eukaryota; Metazoa; Chordata; Mammalia; Rodentia; Cricetidae. The record is from RefSeq and is a predicted model, not a curated record.
AUGGGAAAGUAAAUAUUCUCUCUUUCUAGACUCUAUGAUGAAAGCAAAGUAGAAGAUUGUGUAUUGUUAUGGUAUCCAGCCAACGGUUCGGAAUCUGCUGCAACAUUCAAUUAAUGUUAAACGCUUUUAUGAUGGUGAGGAAGACAACCCCCGCUCAUUGUACUCUUUAGAAAAUUGAAGUGAUACCAUGUUUAACAUUUUGUACUUUAUGAAGUACUUUGAUUUACCCAUGUUCUAAAGUGCAGUGUGGAGUUUAAGACCAGAAUUGCACUGUACAAGGAGGACAAUCUAAACCACUAAGAGUGUGAAGAGUAAAGCAAGAGGAAGCAAGGAUGAAAUCUCGGGAACUGUAGACCUUAAAAGGACCCUGUGAAGACUGACCGCAAAGAUGCAGAAAAUUGUUAUGUCACACAAUUAACCGGAUUUAGAAGAAGCCUUUAGGAAAGAAGGAGUGCUCAGCUGCCUCAAAUGCUGCCAAGAAGUGAGCAAAGAGCAGCAACAACAGUGUCCAUGGGGUUCUACAGUGAGAGAAAGAUCACCCACUGUGAAAAACUCUGUGUUCUCCCUGCUCAGUCUCCCUAGACUAAUCACACAGGACCACCUACAUUUUGUUUACUAGCAUGCCUUCACAUCUGGCUCCUACUGGGUAUAAAAAAUAUAACACUGAAAGAUC